Molecule: ribosomal RNA, 936 nt
Filed under: uncultured bacterium
Lineage: Bacteria
Description: bacterial SSU rRNA
Rfam family: Bacterial small subunit ribosomal RNA
Source: RNAcentral
UGCUUACCAUGCAGUCGAACGAGAAACGGUCUAGCUUGCUAGAUGCAGUCUAAGUGGCGCACGGGUGAGUAAUAUAUAGGUAAUAUGCCUCUUACUAAGGGAUAACAGAUGGAAACGUCUGCUAAUACCUUAUAUGCCUUUAGGACUAAAGUCCGCAAGGGAAAGAUUUAUCGGUAAGAGAUUAGCCUGUACAGUAUCAGUUAGUUGGUGAGGUAAUGGCUCACCAAGACUAUGACACUUAACUGGUUUGAGAGGAUGAUCAGUCACACUGGAACUGAGACACGGUCCAGACUCCUACGGGAGGCAGCAGUGGGGAAUAUUGCACAAUGGACGGAAGUCUGAUGCAGCAACGCCGCGUGGAGGAUGACACAUUUCGGUGCGUAAACUCCUUUUAUAUGAGAAGAUAAUGACGGUAUCAUAUGAAUAAGCACCGGCUAACUCCGUGCCAGCAGCCGCGGUAAUACGGAGGGUGCAAGCGUUACUCGGAAUCACUGGGCGUAAAGAGCGUGUAGGCGGGUUGAUAAGUUUGAAGUGAAAUCCUAUAGCUUAACUAUAGAACUGCUUUGAAAACUGUUAACCUAGAAUAUGGGAGAGGUAGAUGGAAUUUCUGGUGUAGGGGUAAAAUCCGUAGAGAUCAGAAGGAAUACCGAUUGCGAAGGCGAUCUACUGGAACAUUAUUGACGCUGAGACGCGAAAGCGUGGGUAGCAAACAGGAUUAGAUACCCUGGUAGUCCACGCCCUAAACGAUGUACACUAGUUGUUGUGAGGCUCGACCUUGCAGUAAUGCAGUUAACACAUUAAGUGUACCGCCUGGGGAGUACGGUCGCAAGAUUAAAACUCAAAGGAAUAGACGGGGACCCGCACAAGCGGUGGAGCAUGUGGUUUAAUUCGGACGAUACACGAAGAACCUUACCUGNCUUGACAUAGUAAGAACUU